Long non-coding RNA from Amphiprion ocellaris (clown anemonefish), 2193 nucleotides. RefSeq lists it as uncharacterized. The transcript is spliced from 3 exons. The record is from RefSeq and is a predicted model, not a curated record. Lineage: Eukaryota; Metazoa; Chordata; Actinopteri; Pomacentridae.
GAAUGUCUGUCAAUGCUUUCAGCAGAAUUUAGAAACACAACUCUUCCUAAACAGAUAUUUUGAGGCUGUGAGGUUGAACGUUUGAGAGUAUAUCAGUGUGUUUGUUUGUGGUCUUUCUGUUUCUAAGUGGAAGCUGAAUUAGUGAGGAUGACUCCUGCUCCUGUCAUCUCUAAGCUCCUCACACAUCUUUACCUGCACAUGAGGAAAAUCACUCCUGUAGAAUGCAGAUGUUCAGAGGGAGAUGAUGCCACAUCUGGUCCAGCUGAUGGAAGGUCUUGAAGUUCUCUGACUGGCCUCGACUGAAGAUGGUCGUCUCACUGUAUUUAAGGUUCAGAUGCUCAGUAACAAACUCCACCAAUGUGCCAACAGGGAAGCUUUAGGUUUAUUAAAUGUUGCUAUGAAGGUAUCGCUGUUUUUCUUUGUGAAUGCAAUGUGUUCCAACUGAAACUUGAAUUAGAACUUAGAAGUAAAUCCUUCCAUCUGAAAGGAUCUAGUUGCAUUAAUAACCUCAUAACAUUCUAAUUUUUAUUCCAGUCUUGGUUGGAAAUAGAAUCUCUGUAUUGAUUCAGGUAAAAACUGAACUUCACAGCAUGUUGGAGCAAAACAACCAGAUGAAAACUGUGAUGGUGUUGGAUUGUCAGACCGUAAUGUUGCAGCUCAAAGCAGCUUUUCUAUCUCAGUUCAUUCUGACAUUCAGCUAUGAAUCAACACAGCAGAUGGUGAUCCAUGCUGUGGAAGUCUCACAUCUCCUGAUUUAAUGGAGCUGCUUUGCACUUUUUACACUGUUUAUUCACCAACACUUUAUUUAAUAAAAGUCCCAUCUAGUUUUUAUGAGGAAUGUGAUGUUUUAAUUUCUCUGUGAAUAACUGCAGUCUAAUGCAACAGCUGGAGUUGUAACAUCUGUCCUGAUAUUGAUCAUGAAGUAUUGAUCAGAAUACUUAUGGUUAGCAGUCAUCCCUGAAGUUUUAUAUUAAAAUCUUUACUUGUGUUGUGAACUUUGGUAAGAAGCAGAAACUUUUGCGUUGCCAUGGAUACAUGAGUGUUAAAUUCUGUCCAUGUUUCCAUUUUGGGAAAUUCAGUCCAGUACCAGAAUGUGGAGGAAUUUAGUCUCACAAUCACAGACAACAAAUAUUAUCUGAAAGUCGGGUUAUUGUUGUUUAUCAGCACAAUACAAAAAGAUUAAUGUUAGAAAUAUUCCAGUUAAGACUCUAAAAUAUUAUGAUUUAUGUAAAUUUACCUCAACAAUAUGAAUGUUCAGGUUAAGAUUGUGCAGUGAUAUUUAUUAUGUAAGUUUAGCUGAUUAAAGUUUAUGACUCUGCACUAAAAUAUUAUUUAAAUUUACAUCAUUAUUAUAAUAUUUAGGGUCAGACCUUACAGUAUUGAGAUUAAGAAAUCAAAUAUUCUAUAAAAUAUAAAUACACUGAAUUCAUUUGGAUAUAUUUAAGUGAGACUCUACAAUAUUAUUUGACACAAAUCUAUCUAAAUCAAAAUUUUAAUAAUUUUCAUGCCAAACAUUUACUGGACUGAUUUAAAUAUUAAAAUCACUCCUUUCUAAUCCUCUGCUGUACGUUCAAACCUGAGGCCUUAAAUAGAAACACACAAGUAUCUGUUUGAAGGAACUUCUGCAGAGUCCUGGUUCCAGAACAUGAUGAUAGAAUUAUAGACAAACUUUAACAAAAGCUGCCUGAGAGUUUACAGGUUUUUAUGUUGGAUUUCUUCAGUAAUUUAAUGAGCGUUAUCAGCAAAUAUCAAGUGUUCAUUUGAUGAUUUCAUUUCCUAAAACAUCCAGAAUUGGAGCUCAUAUCUUUGGCAGCUGUAAAUUUUCUGCUCUUUCAAAGUUCACAACACAAUGAAUGAAUUCCUAAAACACUCUCAAUGCUGGAGAGCGUUUGUGAUGCUGAAGCAGUGAUCAGUUUUUCUGUUUCUUCUCUGGAGAUGCACAAUGAGGGACGUCUGCAGAGACUGAGAAAGAGUCUCACCACAUCCUGACAUGAGGAAAAAGACUUUAUUGAAGACUACAAUGAGAAAAACUAUCAGACAGCAGACGGCAUGCAUUCAAAGCUACAGGAGGAGUCCUACGAGGACGAGCCGGUCCACCUGAUGGCGGCCAGUCGCUGCGGUUCAAAGCCAACACCGACUACGUGGACUUCUACUGGACCACACGGAGGCCUUCAAACCGGACCAACAAGUUCA